Long non-coding RNA from Ficedula albicollis (Collared flycatcher), 1259 nucleotides. The record is from Ensembl. Lineage: Eukaryota; Metazoa; Chordata; Aves; Passeriformes; Muscicapidae.
CGGCGGAGCCCCGGUGCCCCGGCUGGAGGAGCCCCAAGCUCCGGUGUCGCCCCCCCCCCCCCCCCUGGAGGAGCCCCAAGCUCCGGUGUCGCCCGCGCUGCCCGGCCCGGCCGGUCCCGCCCGGACGCUGCCCGGAUCCAGAGGAUCCCUCCAGCCUCUCCUCUCCUUCUCCUGCUCCUCCUCCUCUGAUCCCACCAGCGCUGCCUCCCCCACUCCCUUCAAUCGACGUUUCCGCUGAAAUGUGCCCGGUUCCACGGAUUUCUUUGAUCUCGCUAAGGGAAGAAGGGAGCUAUAGAAGAAAUUAGAUCGGCAUAGAAGGAGGAAAGGCGAGAGGGAAAGCACUCUCGGGAGAGGGGCUGGAGGCAAGCUGCCAUUGCUGAGGAGGGUCUCCGGUUCUCCCAGUCCUUACCCUGCCAGCUCUCUGGUCUGCCCCGUGAGCCGAGCCAUCGGCUUUGAACGGCGACAGGACCACGAGGAUGGAGCUGCGGAGAGGAGGAAAGGGCCGCUGGCUGCUCCUGGAUUAAGGUUAAAGAGGGGGAGAGACGGACGGACUUCUCACAGCUGCUGCUCCUCAAAUGUUUUAUUUCCUGCUCAGUGUAAGCCUGGAUUGACCUGCAGCAGCAGAAAAUGUCGAGCAACCACCGAUCUCCCUGAAAAGAGUAAAACCACCAGAAAAUCCACGAGGAAACCCAAAAGGGGUUGUGCGCACCUCGGCCUUCGGGCUGGAAGGACGGGGAGCUCUGGGAGGACGGUGACAGCGCUGGUGGCGAUGCGGGGGCGGUUGUAGGGCUGCUGGGACCGGGAAAUGGGCGUCGCUUUCCCAAUUCAAGUGUCUGCCCAUCCCAAGGGACAUGGAGUGACGGCAGGGAGCUGGGGGCUGUCAGACCCCUUUCCUGGAGCUGACAAACAGAGCUGGCACAGGAGCCUUUCCCAGGAGCUCAUCCUGGCAGAGGGAUGCUGCGGCUCCCCGCCAUCACACCGUGCAGGGAAUUCCCGGUGAGGCGGGACCUGCAGCCCGGGAAGGGAUGUGUGGGUGGUGUCGAGUUCGUUUAUUUUCUUAAUUAAAAAAAACAAAACACAACAAAGAGGGGGGCGGACACGGAACGGGACACGACGACUUCUUGUGUUCACCACCAGCAAAAAGCCCCGAAGCCGAGCCUCUGCUGCCCGGGGUACAACCUCCCGGCUCCGUUUUGCGGGAAAGCCGCGGGGCUGGGAGGGGCCGUGCCACCCCCCCCCCCCCCCCCCCCCCCCCCCCC